RNAcentral lists this long non-coding RNA (2179 nucleotides) under Strigops habroptila (Kakapo). Its description in RNAcentral is "lncRNA (ENSSHBG00005004634.1)". The record is from RNAcentral. Lineage: Eukaryota; Metazoa; Chordata; Aves; Psittaciformes; Psittacidae.
UUUUUCUUUUUGCCUGUUUUCAGAUUAAUAACACGAGAAUAGAUAAAUUUCAGGAAAAAAAUAAAAUACGAAGGACAUAUAUUUCAGCAUGUUAGCCCAGUAAUACUAUUAUGCAGCAUCAAAAGAAUAAAACUGUGUUUCUCCAAUGCCCUGAGAAGAAUACCUUUUUAAAACCCUUUGCCUCUCAGAGAUUUAUAUUCCUGUGGGAAUGUAAUUGAUACCAAGGGCAGCAGCUUUUGAGUGCAGCUGUAGUUAUCAUUAAGAGAGAUAAGUAUUUGAAGAAAUUUUGAUACUUCAGCCGUGCUUGUGUUAAAUACAGAGCUAUGCCAAGAAAAAUACAGAUGACCAUCGAUUUGUACUUUCUGCUUCAUUUAAUAAAAAAACCCCAACCUUCUAAAAUGCAUUCUAUUUUUAAUAUGUAAGAAAUAAAAUUGUAAUAAGCUCAAAACUCAUACUCAGGUACUGUGAAUCACAAUAAUUCCCCAUGGAACAAGACAAACAUAUACAUGCCUUGUAUGCCUUUUUCUGCGUAUGCACAAGUUACUUUUCUGUCAAUCCUUCAUAAUUUAUAUGCUUAGACUACUAUGGAUGUAACAACAUUAAAAAUCACUUUAAAAUGGCUUUUACACUGGCAGCCAGAAAUUUGGAUCAAAUACAUUGAGAGAAAUGCAGAAAAGUGGGCAUUGCUGAGAUUCUAAAGUUCACAUAUUCCAAGGCAGUACCGUGUAUAUGCUAUGUUUGUAUUUAACCUGCCUUAUUUAGUAAUAUGAAAUUAUAGAAAAAUAAGAUCUUAGUAUAAAGUCUAAAAGCCUAGAAAAUUAAUGUGUAGUUUGAAGGACUGCCUUCAGCUUUCACAGAUUUCAUUGAGAACUGAAGAGUCACCGCGCUGAAGAGGGUUCUCAAUAGCAUCUGCAAGAUAUUGAGCAGGACAAAAGCAAUGUGUCUGUGUCACAUCUACAUGGUGAAACAUUAAAACAUAGCUGAAAGAAAGCUAAUGUCAUAUCGAGAGGUUCCAUGUUCACUGUAAUUCCUGAUUAAUCUAAUAUAUUUUAUUUUGUUUAUUAUUUAAGCUGUGUUUUUUCCAAAUAUCAGUCUCAGAACUUCAACAACAGGCACUUAUGUAAAAGUGGUGGGAAAUGAAGCUUUAGCAAUAUCCUUUCUCCUUUUGCCAUUCUCCCAAAGCAAAACUUGGAGACUCUCUGAAGCCAUUUGCCAGCAUUUACUAUUAAUAUACAGCCUGUCUACAUUUUUAAUUUCUUGUUUUUUUAAAAAAUUCUAUUCAACCAAUUGGUCAUAUUAAUAAAUCUGCUUUCCAGCCAUUAUUCAUCUAAGAAACAAUACCACCUAACCGUAUUGUGCUUUUCCUAUUGUGAAAUCUUGUCUUUUAAAAAAAAUUAAAUAAAUUACUAUUUUAUUUUUCUGAAGGCAGAGUGGAUUCAGACACAGUACCUGCCAAACUUGGAGAGACUUCAGACAUAGGUUCCAGUUUUUACGAGUCUCUAAGCGCUUUGGGGACCCAGAUUCAGGCAUUCUAACUUUGAACAUACUGGUAUGUUUUAGCUAUUUAAUAUUUGGGAGUCAAGAGUCAUAUUGGCAUGGAGUAAAAUACAGAAAUGCAGUCUAUAAGCCCAUGAAAGAAUGUUAUUGCAUUACAGCUGCUUAAAAAGUUAUUGUAGAUCAGCUGAAGUACUGUAAUUGUCUGUCCAUGCACUUAAGCUUGCCCAGAGUGAGGUAAACAUCCAUGUGCUCCAGGGAUUACUCAUUAAAUGAAGCAUUAUGUUUUAGUACUGAGAAGUCUCUGCUGUCCUUCCAUUAUUUUCUAAUUGAAGAUAAAUUUACUCUGCAUAAGAGUAAUUUUAAUUAUGUGGUUUACUGUGUGUAUGUCUUGGAUAUUUUUCAAUUGCUUAUGCAGACUGUAGACAAACACAUACAUGUGUGUGCACACGACAUUUUCCCUGCUAUAAUUAGGUAUUUCUGGCACUUUGCAAUAGCAGGAUCAAAGCCAAAUUGUAGCUACCUUUGGAAAAUCUUAAAAGUAGCUGUAAUUGAAAAAGGAGGUGUACUUUUCUGGUUUAAAACUUAAUAAGAUUUUUUUUUUUUAUUUUUUCCAGAAAGUGUAAUGUUUUCUGUCAUCAUUUUAAUGUUAGCUUUUGAUUAAAAAAGUUGUGGAAAUUUUGAA